Molecule: non-coding RNA, 32 nt
Filed under: Geobacter sulfurreducens KN400
Lineage: Bacteria; Pseudomonadati; Thermodesulfobacteriota; Desulfuromonadia; Geobacterales; Geobacteraceae
Source: RNAcentral
UAGCUAUAAAACUGCGUAAACAGGCGCACGAA